Non-coding RNA from Pangasianodon hypophthalmus (striped catfish), 607 nucleotides. Lineage: Eukaryota; Metazoa; Chordata; Actinopteri; Siluriformes; Pangasiidae. The record is from the annotation of a RefSeq genome assembly.
ACAGUUGUGGUGUUUGCAUAUGUGUGCUGUGUCACUGCUGCACACACUUUAAGAGCUGUAGUGCUGAUCAGAGUGUGUUCAGUCCUUUCAGAGCCACUGACACGCAGCACAAUGAUGAUGGUACUGAUUCUACUGCUGGGGACACUGGGACUCCUCGCUCACCAGUCCUUUGGGGAAAUCGUCGUGACUCAGUCUCCAGGAUCUCAGUCUGUUUCUCCAGGAGAAUCUGUUACUCUCACCUGUAGAACCAGUCAGAGUGUUAGCAGUUGGCUCGCCUGGUACCUGCAGAAACCUGGAGAAGCUCCUAAACUCCUGAUCUAUGGUGCAUCUACUCGUCAGUCUGGCAUUCCAGAUCGUUUCAGUGGCAGUGGAUCUGGUACACAGUUUAGUCUAAAAAUCUCUGGAGUUCAGACUGAAGAUGCAGGAGAUUAUUACUGUCAGCAGUAUAGCAGCACUCCGUACACACAGUGUUAUAGCGCCGUACAAAAACCUCCCUCAGCUGUAGAGGAAGUGCUCUGAGUCAGAAACACACACUGAUCUGAGAACAGCUGCAGAGCUGCUAAAGCUGCACUCCACUGAACAUCAUCAAACGUGUUCAUUUAAAGAA